GACGAACGCUGGUGGCGUGCUUAACACAUGCAAGUCGAACGGAAAGGCCCUGCUUUUGUGGGGUGCUUGAGUGGCGAACGGGUGAGUAACACGUGAGUAACCUGCCCUUGACUUUGGGAUAACUUCAGGAAACUGGGGCUAAUACCGGAUAGGAGCUCCUGCUGCAUGGUGGGGGUUGGAAAGUUUCGGCGGUUGGGGAUGGACUCGCGGCUUAUCAGCUUGUUGGUGGGGUAGUGGCUUACCAAGGCUUUGACGGGUAGCCGGCCUGAGAGGGUGACCGGCCACAUUGGGACUGAGAUACGGCCCAGACUCCUACGGGAGGCAGCAGUGGGGAAUAUUGCACAAUGGGCGGAAGCCUGAUGCAGCAACGCCGCGUGCGGGAUGACGGCCUUCGGGUUGUAAACCGCUUUCGCCUGUGACGAAGCGUGAGUGACGGUAAUGGGUAAAGAAGCACCGGCUAACUACGUG
Molecule: ribosomal RNA, 468 nt
Filed under: uncultured bacterium
Lineage: Bacteria
Description: partial 16S ribosomal RNA
Rfam family: Bacterial small subunit ribosomal RNA
Source: RNAcentral